UACAUGGGGUGCAAAUGUUGCUCGGAAUUAUUGGGCGUAAAGCGCACGUAGGCGGUUUGUUAAGUCGGAUGUGAAAUCCCUCGGCUCAACUGAGGAAGUGCAUCCGAAACUGGCAGGCUUGAGUACUAAAGAGGGUCGCGGAAUUCCCGGUGUAGAGGUGAAAUUCGUAGAUAUCGGGAGGAACACCGGUGGCGAAGGCGGCGACCUGGGUAGAUACUGACGCUGAGGUGCGAAAGCGUGGGGAGCAAACAGG
This 253-nucleotide ribosomal RNA is filed under the name uncultured bacterium. RNAcentral describes it as "partial 16S ribosomal RNA". It matches the Rfam family "Bacterial small subunit ribosomal RNA", at positions 524 to 776 of the family's 1533-position model. The record is from RNAcentral.